Molecule: ribosomal RNA, 466 nt
Filed under: uncultured bacterium
Lineage: Bacteria
Description: partial 16S ribosomal RNA
Rfam family: Bacterial small subunit ribosomal RNA
Source: RNAcentral
GACGAACGCUGGCGGCGUGCUUAACACAUGCAAGUCGAACGGAAAGGCCCUGCUUGCAGGGUACUCGAGUGGCGAACGGGUGAGUAACACGUGGGUGAUCUGCCCUGCACUUCGGGAUAAGCUUGGGAAACUGGGUCUAAUACCGGAUAGGAGCCAUCUUUCGUGUGGUGGUUGGAAAGUUUUUUCGGUGUAGGAUGAGCUCGCGGCCUAUCAGCUUGUUGGUGGGGUAAUGGCCUACCAAGGCGGCGACGGGUAGCCGGCCUGAGAGGGUGUACGGCCACAUUGGGACUGAGAUACGGCCCAGACUCCUACGGGAGGCAGCAGUGGGGAAUAUUGCACAAUGGGCGCAAGGCUGAUGCAGCGACGCCGCGUGGGGGAUGAAGGCCUUCGGGUUGUAAACUCCUUUCGCUAGGGACGAAGCUUUGUUGUGACGGUACCUAGAGAAGAAGCACCGGCUAACUACGUG